Molecule: non-coding RNA, 70 nt
Organism: Pseudomonas sp.
Lineage: Bacteria; Pseudomonadati; Pseudomonadota; Gammaproteobacteria; Pseudomonadales; Pseudomonadaceae
Source: Rfam
GGCACGCUUUCUGCUCAACGGUCUGCAACGGUAACCAACGGCGGCUACCGAUCCCCGACAAAGGCGUCGC